GUGGAUUAGGUACCCUGGUAGUCCACGCCGUAAACGAUGGAUACUAGCUGUUGGGCGCAAGUUCAGUGGCUAAGCGAAAGUGAUAAGUAUCCCACCUGGGGAGUACGGGCGCAAGCCUGAAACUCAAAGGAAUUGACGGGGGCCCGCACAAGCGGUGGAGCAUGUGGUUUAAUUCGAUGAUACGCGAGGAACCUUACCAAGGCUUAAAUGUAGAUUGACCGUUUUGGAAACAGAACUUUCGCAAGACAAUUUACAAGGUGCUGCACGGUGGUCGUCAGCU
RNAcentral lists this ribosomal RNA (280 nucleotides) under uncultured bacterium. Its description in RNAcentral is "partial 16S ribosomal RNA". It matches the Rfam family "Bacterial small subunit ribosomal RNA", at positions 773 to 1060 of the family's 1533-position model. The record is from RNAcentral.